Molecule: ribosomal RNA, 250 nt
Filed under: uncultured prokaryote
Description: partial 16S ribosomal RNA
Rfam family: Bacterial small subunit ribosomal RNA
Source: RNAcentral
UACGUAGGGGGCGAGCGUUGUCCGGAAUGAUUGGGCGUAGAGGGCGCGUAGGCGGCCCGUUAAGUCUGAAGUGAAAGUCCUGCUUUUAAGGUGGGAAUUGCUUUGGAUACUGAUGGGCUUGAGUGCAGGAGAGGUAAGUGGAAUUCCCAGUGUAGCGGUGAAAUGCGUAGAGACUGGGGGGAACACCAGUGGCGUAGGCGACUUACUGGACUGUAACUGACGCUGGGGCGCGAAAGUGUGGGGAGCAAAC